UUUCCGUAGGUGAACCUGCGGAAGGAUCAUUACGGAGUGAGGGCCCCUCGGGGUCCAACCUCCCACCCGUGUUUAACGAACCUUGUUGCUUCGGCGGGCCCGCCUCACGGCCGCCGGGGGGCAACUGCCCCCGGGCCCGCGCCCGACGAAGCCACCUGUGAACGCUGUCUGAAGUAUGCAGUCUGAGACAAUUAUUAAAUUAAUUAAAACUUUCAACAACGGAUCUCUUGGUUCCG
RNAcentral lists this unclassified non-coding RNA (236 nucleotides) under plant metagenome. RNAcentral's name for it is "partial contains small subunit ribosomal RNA, internal transcribed spacer 1, and 5.8S ribosomal RNA". The record is from RNAcentral.